RNAcentral lists this long non-coding RNA (1054 nucleotides) under Helianthus annuus (common sunflower). Its description in RNAcentral is "hypothetical non coding rna". Lineage: Eukaryota; Viridiplantae; Streptophyta; Magnoliopsida; Asterales; Asteraceae. The record is from RNAcentral.
CAGUGGCGAAGCUUGAGAUUUCCGACCGAGGGGGCGGAAGUCACCAGACCUAAAAAUUUCUUUUGACAACCACUAGGCUAUAGCCUAAGUCACAUCUACUAUAAAAUAUUUAUAGUUGUUAUUCAUCAAAUUGGAUCUUAAUAAUUCAAAUUAUAAUUUAUCAAUCGAUAAUAAAUCGAUAAUUACAACUUGACUAAUAUGCUUAUAGAGUAAGGUUAACAUACAAAAAGCCUUAUCAUACAUUACGUAGGAGACAAUGGUAACCGUUGGAUCAGGGGUAUAAUCACGCAUGGGACCACAUAAUCACGCAUGGGACCACAUAAUCACGCAUGGGACUAUAAUCACGCACGUUCUAUGAUAAUAACGCACGUUAUAUUUUUUGUCAUGUAUGUUAAUGUAGGUUAAGCCUUGAAGUACAUUAUACUUUCUCUAUGCUUAUAAGUGAAACGUACAAGCAAAAUAGAGUGUGAUUCUUUGACGCUUAUGCUACUAGGAUUGCCCUUGGCAACAUAAGUGAAAGUUGGAAGGGUCAUCAAACUAUAACUAUGGAUUAUUAUCAGCUAAUGGGUCAUAGUUUGAAGUGAAGGGCUGGCAAUUGGGUACCUGUUAAGACACAAUUAGAUCUGUUUGACUGAAAAAUAUACCCUUUGACUUUUUAAAUUUUUAAAAUAAUUAAAAUUACAACGUUAGGAUCUAUCAUUUAUUCAUCUUUGUACAUAAAACACAAAACUGUUUUAUAAACAUGAGGUAGAAAGUAGUUAAACGAGUCGUAAUCAUGUUUGAAACUUAUGUUGUGCGCGCCGUCAAAAACUUGUUAAAUCUGUUAAGACACGAUUUGCCAGCCUUAGUUUGAACUAUAAACAUCCAAUUUUCCUUCUUUUUUUUUUUUUUUUUGAUUUUAUCAUAAAUACAACAAUAUACACCAAUGCAAGCACUUUGAGAUUUCAACUUGCACAUCACUUUGUUUUAAUUAAACAACCACGAAAAAAAUUAUAAUAAAGAUUUAUACCCAAACAUGAUCUCUUUGUUUUAGUAUAUCCCUGUUCGAAAAAAA